Molecule: ribosomal RNA, 301 nt
Filed under: uncultured bacterium
Lineage: Bacteria
Description: partial 16S ribosomal RNA
Rfam family: Bacterial small subunit ribosomal RNA
Source: RNAcentral
CAGUCGCCACGGUAACACGAAGGGGGCUAGCGUUGUUCGGAAUUACUGGGCGUAAAGGGCGCGUAGGCGGCCAUUCAAGUUAGAUGUGAAAGCCCUGGGCUCAACCUAGGAAUUGCAUUUGAUACUGUUUGGCUUGAGUUCGGGAGAGGUGAGUGGAAUUCCCAGUGUAGAGGUGAAAUUCGUAGAUAUUGGGAAGAACACCAGUGGCGAAGGCGGCUCACUGGACCGACACUGACGCUGAGGCGCGAAAGCGUGGGGAGCAAACAGGAUUAGAUACCCCUGUAGUCCCUGUCUCUUAUAC